Molecule: ribosomal RNA, 505 nt
Filed under: uncultured bacterium
Lineage: Bacteria
Description: partial 16S ribosomal RNA
Rfam family: Bacterial small subunit ribosomal RNA
Source: RNAcentral
GACGAACGCUGGCGGCGUGCCUAAUACAUGCAAGUAGAACGCACAGUUUAUACCGUAGCUUGCUACACCAUAGACUGUGAGUUGCGAACGGGUGAGUAACGCGUAGGUAACCUGCCUGGUAGCGGGGGAUAACUAUUGGAAACGAUAGCUAAUACCGCAUAAUAUUGAUUAUUGCAUGAUAAUUGAUUGAAAGAUGCUAUUGCAUCACUACCAGAUGGACCUGCGUUGUAUUAGCUAGUAGGUGAGGUAACGGCUCACCUAGGCGACGAUACAUAGCCGACCUGAGAGGGUGAUCGGCCACACUGGGACUGAGACACGGCCCAGACUGCUACGGGAGGCAGCAGUAGGGAAUCUUCGGCAAUGGACGAAAGUCUGACCGAGCAACGCCGCGUGAGGGAAGAAGGUUUUCGGAUCGUAAAGCUCUGUUGUAAGAGAAGAACGGGUGUGAGAGUGGAAAGUUCACACUGUGACGGUAUCUUACCAGAAAGGGACGGCUAACUACGUG